UACGAAGGGGGCUAGCGUUGCUCGGAAUUACUGGGCGUAAAGCGCACGUAGGCGGGUUCUUAAGUCGGGGGUGAAAUCCUGGAGCUCAACUCCAGAACUGCCUUCGAAACUGGGAAUCUUGAGUCCGGGAGAGGUGAGUGGAACUGCGAGUGUAGAGGUGAAAUUCGUAGAUAUUCGCAAGAACACCAGUGGCGAAGGCGGCUCACUGGCCCGGUACUGACGCUGAGGUGCGAAAGCGUGGGGAGCAAACAGG
Molecule: ribosomal RNA, 253 nt
Filed under: uncultured bacterium
Lineage: Bacteria
Description: partial 16S ribosomal RNA
Rfam family: Bacterial small subunit ribosomal RNA
Source: RNAcentral